This 205-nucleotide microRNA precursor is filed under the name Oryza sativa Indica Group (long-grained rice). RNAcentral's name for it is "MIR812 microRNA precursor family". It matches the Rfam family "MIR812 microRNA precursor family". The record is from Rfam by way of RNAcentral. Lineage: Eukaryota; Viridiplantae; Streptophyta; Magnoliopsida; Poales; Poaceae.
AAAAAGACAAACCCUGGUUUCCGUAUCCAAUAUUUGACCGUCCGUCUUAUUUGAAAAAAAUAUGAAAAAAAUUAAAAAGACAAGUCACGCAUAAAAUAUUAAUCAUGUUUUAUCAUCUAACAACAAUAAAAAUACGAAUUAUAAAACAAUUUCAUAUAAGACGGACAGUUAAAGUUGGACACGGAAAGUUAGGAUUUGCCUUUUU